CCACAAUGACUUAAGCGUAAAUAUUACAGUCGUAUUUAUUUUUAAUACACGUACAAAUAUAUAAACGUCUUUAUUUGGUGAGAACACAAUUCAAAAACAAUUGAGCAACACACUGGAUUCCUAACUGCUGAUUAAUUAGAAACAGACAUACGGACAAAAUUAUUCAUACAAAAAAAAUGUUUUUUACAGCUUUAUUGAUUUGCCUUUUUUAUUGUUCUGAGAUUGAAGCAAGCAGGAAUGACUUGACAAUGUUUGCUGUAGACAAUAAUCUUCAAAAGAUUACGUCUGCUCUUUCAGAAAUACGACUAGAGCUUAAAACUUUGAAUCGCAAACCAAAAUCUUGCGAAGAUAUCUACACAGAUGACAAUCUAAGUCCAAGCGGAGAUUAUGUUAUUUAUCCAUUGCAAAUGGCUGUUAGAGUAUA
This is a long non-coding RNA of Mytilus trossulus (common blue mussel), 424 nucleotides long. RefSeq lists it as uncharacterized. The transcript has 3 exons. The record is from RefSeq and is a predicted model, not a curated record. NCBI's taxonomy places the organism in Eukaryota, Metazoa, Mollusca, Bivalvia, Mytilida, Mytilidae.